This is a long non-coding RNA of Bubalus bubalis (water buffalo), 3839 nucleotides long. RefSeq lists it as uncharacterized. The transcript has 4 exons. The record is from RefSeq and is a predicted model, not a curated record. NCBI's taxonomy places the organism in Eukaryota, Metazoa, Chordata, Mammalia, Artiodactyla, Bovidae.
AUGGAAGGGUUUCAAGUAACACCCUCAAUACACACAAGUUACAGACCGCCAUUUACAAAUGAGUUCACUUUUCAUUCAUUCUCACACCAUGCUGUUAAAAGUCAGGCCAUGAUUUCUAGGUGAUAGAUGAGGAAGCCACCUUGCAAUUGUGCGUCAGUGUCUGGGGUAAGAGGCAGAGCAGUGCCUUGACUCCAGGGCUUCUGCCUGCAAGGGCAUUGGUCUUCUGCUGGACUGUAGCUGCUUACAGAGUCUAUGCUUCAGUAAUCUGUAACAGAAAGGAUAUUCCAUGUAGAAAUGCCAUGGGGGACAAAGGAUGCAUUGGGGGGUGGCCCCUUGGGUUUCACCUCAGCCGGUCCUCAUAAUCAGUGGUGUUAAGGGCCACACAAGGUGGGUCUGGACCAGGUGGAGCUGUGUGCACACUAUCCACUGCAGCAGCGUAAGAUGGUGUUUGUUAAGAAGGGGUACUGCUGCUUUAAAGACAUUGUACAAAGAUCCUUCAUGCACACAGUAUAGUGGUUCCCAGCCUCUUUCCCUCAUUCCCCAUCACCUCAAAGGGACCACCUUCAACCUCUUUUAAGAUGGUUAUUUUGAAGCUUAUCUGGACUAAAAAAGGACUAAACAUACCAAAAGCAAAAAAUUUGCUGAUAAACUCAUCCUGUUUUUAAAAAUCUCUUCCAAAUCACUAAGCAUGAAUCAGAAAGUCAUGUUAACGAUCAGGAGUUAAGUUGUGACAAUAUCCCAACCUUUAGGUAGAAGGGGUAGGCUUAUACAUUUCUUCAGUCUAAAGGUUUUAGGACUAAGUCAGGAACUUAAAACUUCCCUGGGACCAUUAUGUAUCCCAUUCUUCACUUACCUGCUUUGGUCAUUCUUUGCACCCUAGAUGUAAUCAUCUCCCAAAGCUCCCCUUAGGGUGCUCCCUCCCCACUCCUGUCAGCUGUGCCCCUGCCAGUCCUAGGGUGCUCCAAACUCAGGCUUCAACCAGGUGUGGGUGGUCUGCCAGUCCAGUCCCUCAGUCUCACCAUUUUACACUCCUCCUACCCACAACCCACACAGCAGAGCAAAUCAACUCUUCCCAACUUCAAACUCCUGUCUUUUUUUAAAGGUUCAGUUUUGUUAGUCCUCGCACAUAUUUUUUACUCCUGUGUGAAUCAGAACCCUCACCACUUUGUUUAGUUGAAUAAAACUGGUUUUCAGCCAUAUAAGCACUCUCCAUUCUAAUUUCUCCUAUAAAGUACUUUAUAUGCUGGUUGAAAUACAGCACAUUCGCUUCAUUUCUCUACUCAAUCUGAAUUAGUCGCUUAUUGCCUACAGGAUAAAAAUCUAAGUGAAAAAAAAACACUCAUUUACCCUAUUCUUAGCGUCUUUCCCAAUUCUUCACAAUUCUCCCCUCUGGCAGGAUGAUCUAAAACAGUUCUGCUCUGGCUGUCCAUUUGAGCUCAGGCUUCUGUCUCCAUCCCCACUCUAGACUUUCUCCUUUCACCUCCAAACCACAUAUCCUGUCUGUUCCAAUUCUCUGCCUCCAUAUGGACCACCCUUUCUCAGUAGUCCUGCUAGAUCGAUGUUCUCAACUAUGCCAAACUCUCCUUACCACCACCACCCAGAUCUUUAUCCAACUAGUGUUUCAGAUUACACUGCAUUUUCCCUGAAUGCAGGAAUUCUAACUUAAGAUUCUUUUUGCAGAUCCUUUGAAUAUGGGCCGUAUAGUUAAUAGGGCUUUCCAGGUGGCAUUAGUGUUAAAGAAUCUGCCUGUUAAUGCAGGAGAGACGCAGCUUCGAUCCCUGGGUUGGGAAGAUCCCCUGCAGAAUGGAAUUUCAGCAACCCACUCCAGUAUGCUUGCCUUGGAGAAUCCUAUUGGCAGAGGAGCCUGGUGGGCUAUAGUACAUAUAGUGGCAAAGACUUAGACACGACUGAAGUGACUUAGCACACAGCACACUAUACUAUAAGUGACAACACACUUUCAAAAUGAAAUACUAUUGAUUCACCUGGUAGGGAACCAGCACAGACAACCAAAUAGUACAUGAAUCCAUUAGUCACUUACACUCCAGUGAUUUAUGAGAGGCUCUCCUGGACUGCAGUCCCUCCGACUUGGCCAUGUGGGUUUGCUUUGGAGCCUGACACCAGUGCUUUCACAGCCAUCCUGUCGUUUCCACUGGUAAAUAACAGGGACACACUCACAUUGACCACAGACUUGUAAAAACUUGCACUUAUUUCUGGUGGGCCAGACCACAAGCUGGGAAGGGACAGAGCUCUUAGGUGGCAUCCUGAUUAUCCUUCCAGCCUUGUGAUAAGACCUUCCUGUGGAAGAUGUCAGAGGGCCCUGUGGACUCACUUCUUCAAGGAGGCAUGCUACCUCAUCCAUGUCACCCUCCUCUUCCAACUCAGAGUCUUCUGAAUCCUCAGGAAGCACAACGGUCAAGAAAGUAGUUUUCUUCAACAGAUAGGCUGUCUUAGCAUUUGAGAAGCUGCUCAUGUCUUUCAGCUUCCUGCCUUUCACAGUCUUUUUAACUUUUGCACACCUUUUCAAGUUCUCAUGCCUCCUCAGUCUCAUCAUUUAAGAUCACUUCAUCUUUAUCCACGCUCUGUUUCCUGUUUGUAACUUUUUUUCCAUGAUCCCCUGGUUUUGCUGUCUGAUGCCGUCUCCACCCCUGGAGGGCAUCUGCCGGGGAGAUUUCUCUACCUGGGCUUCGUAGCAGCUCAUGUUGCACUGGAUGCCCUCAUCCACUUUGUUGACCUGGGCCAACCAGGUAGGGGAGGAACCCUGUCCCUCAUAGUUACUGUUCUCUCCCUCACCUUCAUAAUCCUGUUUAUCCUGGUUCCUACACUCAGUCUGCUUGGCUGCAUAUCUCAUGUCACACUGGAUGCCUUCAUCCACUGUGUUGAACCGGGCCAACCAGGCAGGGGAGGAACCGUGCCCCUCAUAGUUAUUCUCUACCUCACUUUCAUAUUCAUACUCAUCUUCAUCCUGGUACCCACUCUCCACUGGCUCUGCUGCCUCUCAUUUCCCACUGGAUGCCCACACCCAGUCUAUGCAGAGUAGGAGGAGGGGAGGAACACUGACACCCCUCAUGGAGGAUAUGAUCUUCACUUCCGGAUGGCAUUUGAUGGGGUUCUCUCUCCAACUGCAUGUCCUCACUUCCUUCAUUAUGCAGGGAGGCAGGGAACAGUAUAUGGGAAUAAAAACACUCCUCAUAACUACCAGAAUAAUAAUCAUCAUCAAAUUCAAUGAGAUCCACAUACUCCUACCAUGGUCCUUCACUGCUUUCUGAUGAUGGCUCGUUCUGCUUAUCACAGCACUGAACCAUGUCCCCCUGGAUGGCCUCAUCUACUCUGUUGACCAGGGUCAACCAGGUUCAAUGAGGUCCCGAUAAUCUCACCAUGGUCCUGCACUGCUUUCUGAUGAUGACUCAGGCUGUGCAUCAUGGCACUGACCCACGUCACCCUGGAUGCCAUCAUCUACUUUGUUGACCUGAGCCAACCAGCCCAAAGCCGCUGACACUUAAGGACGAGGAGUCUACCGGGAAGAAGCGGAGAGGAAGGAGGCCAAUCUGGACCUAGGACAGACCUGAGAGGGGAAAGAUUCCCACAGAUUCUACUGUUUUCAUUAUGGGCAAGAGAAAUGGAUGAAGGAAAAUGGACUAUAUGUAUGCACUGAAACAGAGUUGUUAUGUUUGCUUUUUUAGAGGUCAAAGAACUAUUUGGACUCAUUCUAACCAUUUUGAGCACUUUGCAAAAAAGAAAAAAAAAGCAUAUGCUUGUAAAUUAUUAAACAAAACAUUUAAGUAGCAAUGGUAUAGAACUAAACUAUUUUAAAGAUCAAUUAAAAAAUACAAAGCUGCAAA